RNAcentral lists this ribosomal RNA (338 nucleotides) under Escherichia coli. RNAcentral's name for it is "partial 23S ribosomal RNA". It matches the Rfam family "Bacterial large subunit ribosomal RNA", at positions 904 to 1239 of the family's 2925-position model. Lineage: Bacteria; Pseudomonadati; Pseudomonadota; Gammaproteobacteria; Enterobacterales; Enterobacteriaceae. The record is from RNAcentral.
AGAGCACUGUUUCGGCAAGGGGGUCAUCCCGACUUACCAACCCGAUGCAAACUGCGAAUACCGGAGAAUGUUAUCACGGGAGACACACGGCGGGUGCUAACGUCCGUCGUGAAGAGGGAAACAACCCAGACCGCCAGCUAAGGUCCCAAAGUCAUGGUUAAGUGGGAAACGAUGUGGGAAGGCCCAGACAGCCAGGAUGUUGGCUUAGAAGCAGCCAUCAUUUAAAGAAAGCGUAAUAGCUCACUGGUCGAGUCGGCCUGCGCGGAAGAUGUAACGGGGCUAAACCAUGCACCGAAGCUGCGGCAGCGACGCUUAUGCGUUGUUGGGUAGGGGAGCGU